GUGCAGCAGUCGCGAAAACUUCACACUGUGCGAAAGCACGAUGAGGGAAUCCCAAGUGCUUGCACGUAAGUGUAAGCUGUUUCUCUGUCUAAAACGCAGAGAGAGUAAGGGCUGGGUAAGACGGGUGCCAGCCGCCGCGGUAAUACCUGCAGCUCAAGUGGUGACCGUUAUUAUUGGGCCUAAAACGUCCGUAGCCGGUUUAAUAAAUGCCUGGGUAAAUUGUGUAGCUUAACUAUACGAAUUCCGGGUAGACUGUUAAACUUGAGACCGGGAGGAGUUAGAGGUACUCCUGGGGUAGAGGUGAAAUUCUGUAAUCCUAGGGGACCACCAGUGGCGAAGGCGUCUAACUAGAACGGGUCUGACGGUGAGGGACGAAGCCCUGGGGCGC
This 388-nucleotide ribosomal RNA is filed under the name uncultured microorganism. RNAcentral describes it as "bacterial SSU rRNA". It matches the Rfam family "Archaeal small subunit ribosomal RNA", at positions 330 to 720 of the family's 1478-position model. The record is from RNAcentral.